RNAcentral lists this non-coding RNA (24 nucleotides) under Mus musculus (house mouse). The record is from RNAcentral. Lineage: Eukaryota; Metazoa; Chordata; Mammalia; Rodentia; Muridae.
UCCAGACUUGGAAACUCCGCUCGC